RNAcentral lists this ribosomal RNA (324 nucleotides) under uncultured eukaryote. Its description in RNAcentral is "partial 18S ribosomal RNA". It matches the Rfam family "Eukaryotic small subunit ribosomal RNA", at positions 1470 to 1796 of the family's 1831-position model. The record is from RNAcentral.
CCCUUAGAUGUUCUGGGCCGCACGCGCGCUACACUGAUGCAUUCAACGAGCACCCGCUGGGCCGAGAGGUCCGGCUAAUCUUUGAACGUGCAUUGUGCUGGGGAUAGAUGAUUGCAAUUAUUCAUCUUCAACGAGGAAUUCCUAGUAAACGCAAGUCAUCAGCUUGCAUUGAUUACGUCCCUGCCCUUUGUACACACCGCCCGUCGCACCUACCGAUUGAAUGGUCCGGUGAAAUUCUCGGACGCGGACUUGCGAUGUUAAUUCGGAGCUUGACUGUGGAAGUUAAUUAAACCUUACCAUUUAGAGGAAGGUGAAGUCGUAACA